Non-coding RNA from Ciona savignyi (Pacific transparent sea squirt), 82 nucleotides. The record is from Rfam. Lineage: Eukaryota; Metazoa; Chordata; Ascidiacea; Phlebobranchia; Cionidae.
GGUAGCAUGGCCGAGCGGUCUAAGGCGCUGGUUUAAGGCACCAGUCAUUUCGUUGGCGUGGGUUCGAAUCCCACUGCUGCCA